CGGGACGCUGCAGCAGUGGGGAAUCUUAGACAAUGGGCGCAAGCCUGAUCUAGCCAUGCCGCGUGAGUGACGAAGGCCUUAGGGUCGUAAAGCUCUUUCGCUGGGGAAGAUAAUGACGGUACCCAGUAAAGAAACCCCGGCUAACUCCGUGCCAGCAGCCGCGGUAAUACGGAGGGGGUUAGCGUUGUUCGGAAUUACUGGGCGUAAAGCGCGCGUAGGCGGAUCAGAAAGUUGGGGGUGAAAUCCCGGGGCUCAACCCCGGAACUGCCUUCAAAACUCCUGGUCUUGAGUUCGAGAGAGGUGAGUGGAAUUCCGAGUGUAGAGGUGAAAUUCGUAGAUAUUCGGAGGAACAUCAGUGGCGAAGGCGACUCACUGGCUCGAUACUGACGCUGAGGUGCGAAAGUGUGGGGAGCAAACAGGAUUAGAUACCCGCGUAGUC
RNAcentral lists this ribosomal RNA (439 nucleotides) under uncultured bacterium. RNAcentral's name for it is "partial 16S ribosomal RNA". It matches the Rfam family "Bacterial small subunit ribosomal RNA", at positions 342 to 795 of the family's 1533-position model. The record is from RNAcentral.